Molecule: ribosomal RNA, 758 nt
Filed under: uncultured Actinomyces sp.
Lineage: Bacteria; Bacillati; Actinomycetota; Actinomycetes; Actinomycetales; Actinomycetaceae
Description: bacterial SSU rRNA
Rfam family: Bacterial small subunit ribosomal RNA
Source: RNAcentral
GACGAACGCUGGCGGCGUGCUUAACACAUGCAAGUCGAACGAAAAUACCAAGCUUGCUUGGUUGAUUAGUGGCGAACGGGUGAGUAACACGUGAGUAACCUGCCCCUUACUUUCCUGGAUAACUGCUCGAAAGGGUAGCUAAUACGGGAUAUUCUGACCAUCCUGCAUGGGUUGGUUUGGAAAGGUUGUUUUUCUGGUAAGGGAUGGGCUCGCGGCCUAUCAGCUUGUUGGUGGGGUGAUGGCCUACCAAGGCUUUGACGGGUAGCCGGCCUGAGAGGGUGGACGGUCACACUGGGACUGAGAUACGGCCCAGACUCCUACGGGAGGCAGCAGUGGGGAAUAUUGCACAAUGGGCGCAAGCCUGAUGCAGCGACGCCGCGUGAGGGAUGAAGGCCUUCGGGUUGUAAACCUCUUUCGUCAGGGAACAAGGCAUUGCCUUUUUUGGUGGUGUUGAGGGUGCCUGGAUAAGAAGCGCCGGCUAACUACGUGCCAGCAGCCGCGGUAAUACGUAGGGCGCAAGCGUUGUCCGGAAUUAUUGGGCGUAAAGAGCUCGUAGGCGGCUGGUCGCGUCUGUCGUGAAAACUUCCGGCUCAACCGGGGGCUUGCGGUGGGUACGGGCCGGCUAGAGUGCGGUAGGGGUAACUGGAACUCCUGGUGUAGCGGUGGAAUGCGCAGAUAUCAGGAAGAACACCGAUGGCGAAGGCAGGUUACUGGGCCGUUACUGACGCUGAGGAGCGAAAGCGUGGGGAGCGAACAGG